AUUAUUUUGGCAGAUUAGUGCAGUAAAUUUAGAAUUUAUUUAUGUAAUUAUUUUACAAAUAAUA
This 64-nucleotide transfer RNA is filed under the name Oreodytes scitulus. Its description in RNAcentral is "tRNA-Leu". The record is from RNAcentral. Lineage: Eukaryota; Metazoa; Arthropoda; Insecta; Coleoptera; Dytiscidae.